Molecule: non-coding RNA, 676 nt
Organism: Monodelphis domestica (gray short-tailed opossum)
Lineage: Eukaryota; Metazoa; Chordata; Mammalia; Didelphimorphia; Didelphidae
Source: RefSeq, a predicted model, not a curated record
AUGUAAUAAUGGAGGAAGGCACAGGAAGUGAUGCAAAAAUGUCUUUAAAAGGGAGUUACAGCUUCCUGGAGGAACUUCAACUCCUUCUGGAGUUCUGAGUUCAAGUUGGAGGCUGGUGAAGAAUCUGCUGACUGGACCUGAGACCCUGUACUUGGUGAGACUGUCCUUGAAUCACUCCCUUUGAACUGACAUGUGAGUACAUCGUUUGUAUUCCUUAGAAGAUGGUCUUGGGAACUUGUGGCAGAAAAGAAGAGCUGAUGUGGAAAAAGAAAGAAUGAAAAGACAAACAAAGUCAUCUCCUGGUCACACCAUCUGAUUGACUGGUUCCUUCUAGAACCUUCAAUUUAAGAAGGAUGCAUAGGAUUAAGAUGUCUCCACAGGACAUUCUCUAGCACCAAGAGAAUAUGCCGAACUUUGAGGAAUGUAUAUGGAAGAAGCCAAAUGAAUUAAAAUUUGACAGCUUUUCUCCAAGUCAUAAAUUCAUUUCCAUAUUCAACUUUGAAAAAAUGAAUUGCAAAUGAUCACAUUUUAACAAUCCAAGUAUAUUUCAUGCAUGGGGAAAUAAAAGAAGAAAGGGAGUUUGCAAGUCUACAAAAGAUCCCUGAUGAGGUGAGUAUUUCUAUUCAUCCUUCUUUUCCUUUAAGUAAACCAGUACAGAGACUUUAAACUCGGUGUU